UCACUCUAGCGAGACUGCCGGUAAUAAACCGGAGGAAGGUGGGGAUGACGUCAAAUCAUCAUGCCCCUUAUGACCUGGGCUACACACGUGCUACAAUGGCUGGUACAACGAGUCGCAAGCCGGUGACGGCAAGCUAAUCUCUUAAAGCCAGUCUCAGUUCGGAUUGUAGGCUGCAACUCGCCUACAUGAAGUCGGAAUCGCUAGUAAUCGCGGAUCAGCACGCCGCGGUGAAUACGUUCCCGGGCCUUGUACACACCGCCCGUCACACCACGAGAGUUUGUAACACCCGAAGUCGGUGAGGUAACCUUUUAGGAGCCAGCCGCCUAAGGUGGGAUAGAUGAUUGGGGUGAAGUCGUAACAAGGUAACCGUA
This 371-nucleotide ribosomal RNA is filed under the name uncultured bacterium. RNAcentral describes it as "bacterial SSU rRNA". It matches the Rfam family "Bacterial small subunit ribosomal RNA", at positions 1135 to 1504 of the family's 1533-position model. The record is from RNAcentral.